Molecule: non-coding RNA, 104 nt
Organism: Orbilia blumenaviensis
Lineage: Eukaryota; Fungi; Ascomycota; Orbiliomycetes; Orbiliales; Orbiliaceae
Source: the annotation of a GenBank genome assembly
GGUCACAUGGCGCAAUGGUAGCGCGUUGCUCUCCUAAUGUUCACCUAACAAGGUGACAACCUGGCGGCAAGCAGAGGUUGCAGGUUCGAGUCCUGCUGUGAUCG